UACGGGGGGGGCAAGCGUUGUUCGGAAUUAUUGGGCGUAAAGGGCGUGUAGGCGGCUUCGUAAGUCUCAUUGUGAAAGCCCUCGGCUCAACCGAGGAACUGCAUGGGAAACUGCGGAGCUUGAGUCCGGGAGAGGAGAGCGGAAUUCCCAGUGUAGCGGUGAAAUGCGUAGAUAUUGGGAGGAACACCGGUGGCGAAGGCGGCUCUCUGGACCGGUACUGACGCUGAGACGCGAAAGCUAGGGGAGCAAACGGG
Molecule: ribosomal RNA, 254 nt
Filed under: uncultured bacterium
Lineage: Bacteria
Description: partial 16S ribosomal RNA
Rfam family: Bacterial small subunit ribosomal RNA
Source: RNAcentral